UACGGAGGGUGCGAGCGUUGUCCGGAAUCAUUGGGCGUAAAGCGCGCGUAGGUGGUCCCGUAAGUCCGCUGUGAAAGUCAAAGGCUCAACCUUUGAAAGCCGGUGGAUACUGUGGGACUAGAGUACGGAAGAGGCGAGUGGAAUUCCUGGUGUAGCGGUGGAAUGCGCAGAUAUCAGGAGGAACACCAAUAGCGAAGGCAGCUCGCUGGGACGUUACUGACACUGAGGCGCGAAAGCGUGGGGAGCGAACAGG
This 253-nucleotide ribosomal RNA is filed under the name uncultured bacterium. RNAcentral's name for it is "partial 16S ribosomal RNA". It matches the Rfam family "Bacterial small subunit ribosomal RNA", at positions 524 to 776 of the family's 1533-position model. The record is from RNAcentral.